Molecule: ribosomal RNA, 551 nt
Filed under: Anaplasma bovis
Lineage: Bacteria; Pseudomonadati; Pseudomonadota; Alphaproteobacteria; Rickettsiales; Anaplasmataceae
Description: bacterial SSU rRNA
Rfam family: Bacterial small subunit ribosomal RNA
Source: RNAcentral
CUCGUAGCUUGCUAUGAGAACAAUUAGUGGCAGACGGGUGAGUAAUGCAUAGGAAUCUACCUAGUAGUAUAGGAUAGCCACUAGAAGUGGUGGGUAAUACUGUAUAAUCCCUGCGGGGGAAAGAUUUAUCGCUACAUGAUGAGCCUAUGUUAGAUUAGCUAGUUGGGGGGGUAAUGGCCUACCAAGGCAGUGAUCUAUAGCUGGUCUGAGAGGAUGAUCAGCCACACUGGAACUGAGACACGGUCCAGACUCCUACGGGAGGCAGCAGUGGGGAAUAUUGGACAAUGGGCGCAAGCCUGAUCCAGCUAUGCCGCGUGAGUGAGGAAGGCCUUAGGGUUGUAAAACUCUUUCAGUGGGGAAGAUAAUGACGGUACCCACAGAAGAAGUCCCGGCAAACUCCGUGCCAGCAGCCGCGGUAAUACGGAGGGGGCAAGCGUUGUUCGGAAUUAUUGGGCGUAAAGGGCAUGUAGGUGGUUUGGUAAGUUAAAGGUGAAAUGCCAGGGCUUAACCCUGGAGCUGCUUUUAAUACUGCCAGACUGGAGUCCGGGAGA